AAUCAACGCUGGCGGCGUGCCUCAGACAUGCAAGUCGAACGAUUAAAGCUCUCUUCGGAGAGUGUAUAAAGUGGCGCACGGGUGAGUAACACGUAAGUAAUCUACCUUCGAGUGGGGAAUAACGUCCGGAAACGGACGCUAAUACCGCAUAACGCAGCGGCAUCGCAAGAUGACAGUUGUUAAAGAUUUAUCGCUUGAAGAGGAGCUUGCGGCAGAUUAGCUGUUGGUAAGGUAACGGCUUACCAAGGCUACGAUCUGUAACCGGUCUAAGAGGACGGUCGGUCACACUGACACUGAAUAACGGGUCAGACUCCUACGGGAGGCAGCAGUCGGGAAUUUUGGGCAAUGGGGGAAACCCUGACCCAGCAACGCCGCGUGAAGGAUGAAGUAUUUCGGUAUGUAAACUUCGAAAGAAUAGGAAGAAUUAAUGACGGUACUAUUUAUAAGGUCCGGCUAACUACGUGCCAGCCGCCGCCGU
RNAcentral lists this ribosomal RNA (478 nucleotides) under uncultured bacterium. Its description in RNAcentral is "bacterial SSU rRNA". It matches the Rfam family "Bacterial small subunit ribosomal RNA", at positions 32 to 521 of the family's 1533-position model. The record is from RNAcentral.